AUUGACAGACCUGGCACUCCCUCUGUCAUCUGGACCACUUCCUCUUCUCACAGGAAGUCUCUCACACAGAGAAUGGCACUCUUUCAGAAAAUGGGGUCAAGAAAAGCUGUCUCGAGGAGCACUCAGAUCGGUGCAGUAGUGAUACCUUGAGAGAGACAGAAGCAAACACUGUACCUCUGCCCAAACAUGGUGUGAGUACACAGAUCUAGGAUCAACAGAUCUAGAAUCAAUCUACACACAGAAUACAAUCAGAAUCUGUCCCGAGGUCAGCUGUUAUAAC
This 280-nucleotide long non-coding RNA is filed under the name Salmo trutta (river trout). RNAcentral describes it as "lncRNA (ENSSTUG00000048839.1)". Lineage: Eukaryota; Metazoa; Chordata; Actinopteri; Salmoniformes; Salmonidae. The record is from RNAcentral.